GAGUAACUUAAUUAUAAGCCUGUAAUAAAAGAUGUUCUGCCAACAUAAAUUCUGACCAUCUCAGCUAAAUAGAAAAUAUUAUACUGAAUCAUAACCAAGAUGCAGCAUUGUUAAAUUCAGCAAACAGAUAUUUUUAAGGAAUGUGGCAAUUUGGUUAGAGUCAAUAUAAUCAGUCGCAGGGCUUUCACAACUAGCUGGCAGGCAACCGCCGGCUACUUUUUCUUUUCUAUAAAAAAAUUUGUUAUCAUUUUAAUAUAUUGGAUCCCAGCCAGCUGAUUCAGACUUUUGACCACCUACUCCAAAGUCUUGCAGUCAGCAAGAUAAUAUAAUCUUUGACUGGAUGAAAAAAAACUAAAAAUUACCAACAUUUUCAAGUAUUGAAAGUGGACGUUCCCCAGCUACGACAUUGACGGGACGCAACAAAUUCAUGUGAACUCUUACAAAUCCCUGGAAAAUGGUCUCAUCUUUCUGCAUAACAAAUAGAAAAAAAUUAUUAAGAUACAAGACCUUUAUGAAAUAACUGUUAUGAAUUAAAUCUCAGAUUCAGAUUGGUCAGGAGAGUGUGCAUUAUAAGAGAAACAGCAUGCAUGUGCACUUUAUAUUUCAUCGCUUGUGUCCAAAAUGAUUACUCUCUUGCUGUGAUGUGUGAAGCUAUAAAACACUUGGGGAUUGGCACAACACUGAA
This is a long non-coding RNA of Actinia tenebrosa (Australian red waratah sea anemone), 685 nucleotides long. RefSeq lists it as uncharacterized. NCBI's taxonomy places the organism in Eukaryota, Metazoa, Cnidaria, Anthozoa, Actiniaria, Actiniidae. The record is from RefSeq and is a predicted model, not a curated record.